RNAcentral lists this transfer RNA (73 nucleotides) under Pseudoxanthomonas sp. RNAcentral describes it as "tRNA-Tyr". It matches the Rfam family "tRNA". Rfam says of the family: Transfer RNA (tRNA) molecules are approximately 80 nucleotides in length. The record is from RNAcentral. Lineage: Bacteria; Pseudomonadati; Pseudomonadota; Gammaproteobacteria; Lysobacterales; Lysobacteraceae.
CUGGAUAGCUCAGUUGGAUAGAGCAACAGACUGUAAAUCUGUGAGUCGCGGGUUCGAAUCCCGCUCCAAACCA